Leucoraja erinaceus (little skate) is the source of this 1152-nucleotide long non-coding RNA. RefSeq lists it as uncharacterized. The transcript has 3 exons. The record is from RefSeq and is a predicted model, not a curated record. NCBI's taxonomy places the organism in Eukaryota, Metazoa, Chordata, Chondrichthyes, Rajiformes, Rajidae.
CCAUUGACCAACUUUUUAAGGGUACUUUUAGGCUACGAGUGUAAGGUUGAAUCCUGGUGCUGUUAAACUUCCCUGCCACAAACGCAAAGCAAGACAGAGGAGUUUGUAUUACAACUGUGUCAUAGUGUUACACCGAUGCAAAACAUAUAGCCAGAGGGGCCGCUAAUGAUUACAGUAUAAAACUCGGCUCCAAAAGACCAGGCAGCCGAGAAACUAGCCAUUAUUAAUUCAGUGGUCAGGCACUUAUCCAACUCUCUCUGGACUAUAAAACAAGAAACACAUAUCACUCCAACAUAAAGAUUUUUAAAAUAUGAUGCUUUAUGUCCCAAUGCUGAUUAAAAACUUUUUCUCUCUCUUCUUUUCAACACGGCUUUCACUCUUUAUACAGCUGAUUUCCUUUCGGGCACCAUGUUACAAGGCUAUUAGCAGCAAAUUAUCCCAGCGAUUUCGCUAUUACAUUACAAAUUUAUUUUACGUGGCGCACCGUCAAAGCGUUCCUGCCGCUUUUUUUCACGGAAUGGGUAAUUGCAAAGAUCCAGAUGGAAUAGGUCUUCUAGAUUUGACAAGGCAUUUGUCAUUUUAAAGUACCACAUACCGAAUUUAAGACAAGCCUUUUUUGUGAAUCAAGUUUCCUAACAAUUCAGAUGAUAUUCAAUACAGUGUCAGCAAACUAAUUUCUGGCGAUGAAAGAUGUUUAAAAAAAAAAAAGUUUGACACGAUUUUACUGCAGGACCGUCAUUAUUGAGGUUGAGAACUUUAACAGGAUGGCGCUACGUCGUAAAUCUUACCUUACCGUUUUACUAAAAGAUUUUGCAUAUUAUUUGAAGGCAGCAAGCAGAUGUGGGUGAAGAAUAUGCCAUCAAUACACAAAAUGUGUGUUCUUACAAGCCUGAUUCAAGCAUCGACUCUGCUCGCCUGCUCCUGGGUUUUAUUUAAAGAACAAAUAUUGGAACAUAGUGUGAGCAGGAGCCGUGUCCACCGUAAACAGCAGCAGUUUGCACUUGGUAGAUACGGUACUGUACAACUUACCGUGAGGUACAGGCGAGCAGAACACACUGGCGUUCAACAUUGAGGUGUAAUGGAGGUUGUAGGCAUGCAGUCGUUAUUUUAACGGGAGCACUAACAAAAUAAAAUAAAAAUGCAGCAAUGCCA